CCGUGGACGACAGGUGCUGCAUGGCUGUCGUCAGCUCGUGUCGUGAGAGUGUUGGGUUAAGUCCCGCAACGAGCGCAACCCUUGCCUUUAGUUGCCAGCAGUUCGGCUGGGCACUCUAAAGGGACUGCCGGUGUUAAACCGGAGGAAGGUGGGGAUGACGUCAAGUCCUCAUGGCCUUUAUGACCAGGGCUACACACGUACUACAAUGGCCGAUACAAAGGGCAGCGACACUGCGAGGUGAAGCCAAUCCCGUAAAAUCGGUCUCAGUCCGGAUUGGAGUCUGCAACUCGACUCCAUGAAGUUGGAAUCGCUAGUAAUCGUGGAUCAGCAUGCCACGGUGAAUACGUUCCCGGGCCUU
Molecule: ribosomal RNA, 358 nt
Filed under: uncultured Desulfobulbus sp.
Lineage: Bacteria; Pseudomonadati; Thermodesulfobacteriota; Desulfobulbia; Desulfobulbales; Desulfobulbaceae
Description: bacterial SSU rRNA
Rfam family: Bacterial small subunit ribosomal RNA
Source: RNAcentral